CCUACGGGCGGCAUCCUUGUGUAAUAUUGGACAAUGGGGGGAACCCUGAUCCAGCCAUGCCGCGUGUGUGAAGAAGGCCCUCGGGUUGUAAAGCACUUUCAGUGAGGAAGAACGCCUGGUGGUUAAUACCCAUCAGGAAAGACAUCACUCACAGAAGAAGCACCGGCUAACUCCGUGCCAGCAGCCGCGGUAAUACGGAGGGUGCGAGCGUUAAUCGGAAUUACUGGGCGUAAAGCGCGCGUAGGUGGCUUGAUAAGCCGGUUGUGAAAGCCCCGGGCUCAACCUGGGAACGGCAUCCGGAACUGUCAAGCUAGAGUGCAGGAGAGGAAGGUAGAAUUCCCGGUGUAGCGGUGAAAUGCGUAGAGAUCGGGAGGAAUACCAGUGGCGAAGGCGGCCUUCUGGACUGACACUGACACUGAGGUGCGAAAGCGUGGGUAGCAAACAGGAUUAGAUACCCGUGUAGUC
This 465-nucleotide ribosomal RNA is filed under the name Vreelandella stevensii. RNAcentral's name for it is "partial 16S ribosomal RNA". It matches the Rfam family "Bacterial small subunit ribosomal RNA", at positions 338 to 795 of the family's 1533-position model. The record is from RNAcentral. Lineage: Bacteria; Pseudomonadati; Pseudomonadota; Gammaproteobacteria; Oceanospirillales; Halomonadaceae.